This 440-nucleotide ribosomal RNA is filed under the name uncultured bacterium. RNAcentral's name for it is "partial 16S ribosomal RNA". It matches the Rfam family "Bacterial small subunit ribosomal RNA", at positions 338 to 795 of the family's 1533-position model. The record is from RNAcentral.
CCUACGGGAGGCAGCAGUGGGGGAUAUUGCACAAUGGGGGAAACCCUGAUGCAGCGACGCCGCGUGUGGGAAGACGGUCCUCUGGAUUGUAAACCACUGUCCCCAGGGACGAAGAUGACGGUACCUGGGGAGGAAGCUCCGGCCAACUACGUGCCAGCAGCCGCGGUAAUACGCAGGGGGCGAGGGUUUGCCGGAAUUACUGGGGGUAAAGGGAGCGUAGGCGGGACUGGAAGUUGGGUGUCAAAUCUACCGGCUCAACCGGUAGCCGCACUCAAAACUGCAGGUCUUGAGUGAAGUAGAGGCAGGCGGAAUGCCUGGUGUAGCGGUGAAAUGCGUAGAUAUUGGGAAGAACACCGGUGGCGAAGGCAGCCUGCUGGGCUUUUACUGACGCUGAGGCUCGAAAGUGUGGGGAGCGAACAGGAUUAGAUACCCUUGUAGUC